This is a non-coding RNA of Paramuricea clavata, 255 nucleotides long. NCBI's taxonomy places the organism in Eukaryota, Metazoa, Cnidaria, Anthozoa, Malacalcyonacea, Plexauridae. The record is from the annotation of a GenBank genome assembly.
GGAACAGUAUUAGUUUGCCCGACCGCUUUGCUUACACAGUAGUACUGUGUGACAGUACACAUACAUAACUUUGUUCGAGAUUUUAUCAGGGUCUUUUUUAGGGAUUUUUCCGGGGGGGGGGAUUUUUUGAAAAGGGUCCUUUCUAUGAGAUAAUAUAUUAGUGGGGGAUAGCUAUGUGGCCCACAUACUACGCAUGAAUCUCUUGGGGGGUCUGGGGGCAUACUCCCCGAGAAAAUGUUUGAAAUUUGAAGCUCG